GAAAACUUAGAAAUCUCAUGAACUCAGUCUAUUAAUAGAAUUCAGUAACAUUCCGUCAGUCCAUGAAACUCAGUCCAGUUUAUCUCAGUAUAAUUAGUUCAGUGUCUAUUCAGUUGGGAGUAAGAUUCAGCACCGAGCGAACCUAAGGAUGAGGGCACACACUGACCAUUGAGGGUGUUACCCUUAGAAGAAAUCCUUGUGUUCCAG
This 207-nucleotide long non-coding RNA is filed under the name Capsicum annuum. RNAcentral's name for it is "long non-coding RNA (CANN_LNC006244)". The record is from RNAcentral. Lineage: Eukaryota; Viridiplantae; Streptophyta; Magnoliopsida; Solanales; Solanaceae.